UAAGAAGUUUAUUGAUUUUGUGAGGUUAUUCUCUGUUUUUAGGAACCGGCUUUUUUAAUGUGAGUAUUUAUUUUUUAGAUUACAAGGAUCCAUUAUCUCAAUAUGAUAUCUAUUAAUCUAAUCGACCUAUAUAAUUACCAAAAAUAAAAUAAUAAAUCAUGGCCUAGUAGCUAGAAGAUUCGAAUUUUACAUCCGUAUUGCAAUAGCCUACAGCUAAAUAAUGCCAUUUUUAUUUGCCAUGAAAAAUAAUUUGGAAAUAUUUAUUAUCUAUUAUUUUUUGACUCAUAUAACUUUUUGUUGAACUCCUAAAUAACCAUAAUAUUAUUAUAUUGUAUUUUGGGCAUUCAAAUAACAAUUAUAAUGGUAAUUUCUUCUUGUUUAUUGCCGACACUGUAACUAUAAAGUGGGUAGCCUACCACUCGUAAAGUUAGAAAUGAAUUUGAUUGAAAUAAAAAUAGCAUAUUCUCAGGAUAUCCUGAUUUAUACUAAACACUCCUUGUCUUCUGCUUUUAGUGAGAUUCAAAAGAGUAGGACCUGAAGUAGGUACGUAAAGCUAUUUUUAAGCGCAAAUGUAUGUUAAUCCUAAUUCGCUAUUUUUAGUCUAAUCACAUGGCGAGAUUGUUACCGUAUCACACGUUUUCCUCUGUUUUUACAUACACUAUUUGUCUCAUAUAAUAACUUUGCAUUAUUUUAUCUUCUGUAGAAAAUAUGUAGUAAGAGACACGGUCACGCAUGGAUUUGUGAUCCUGUGAUCCAUAUCUUUGUUCAAGUUGCAUUGACUCUUUAUCAGAACAUCAAACAGCUUCCUGGAUCUGAUAUUCUUCACUCGCAUAUUCUUCCCAAAUAUCUGUCACUUCAACUUUUUCGAUAAAUACGAAUGAAUGAUGAAUGAAAUUGUUAUGUCAGUUAUUUCAUCUUAAGGUGAGUUGAGAGUUCCUGCGAGUUAUUUGCUUUACCGCAGUUCCCUGAUCAUUUACACAUUGAGCCCAGAUUGGAAAAAUCAAAUUCUGAUAAACAUUUAUGGAAGAGGAGUGGUCAUAAAAGUUGAUGGAGAAGAAGGAGGAGAUGAUAUUGGAAGAUGAUGAAAAGGAGGAAGAGGGAGCAAGAAACAAUGAAGAUGGCAUGCCAGGAUGUAUACAUCAGAGCAUCUGAAAAUCGUCUGAUAAUGGCUUUACUGCUGCCGCCAAGGCAUUACCGU
RNAcentral lists this long non-coding RNA (1198 nucleotides) under Nilaparvata lugens (brown planthopper). Its description in RNAcentral is "uncharacterized LOC120350550, transcript variant X2". Lineage: Eukaryota; Metazoa; Arthropoda; Insecta; Hemiptera; Delphacidae. The record is from RNAcentral.